Molecule: ribosomal RNA, 1011 nt
Filed under: Bacillus subtilis
Lineage: Bacteria; Bacillati; Bacillota; Bacilli; Caryophanales; Bacillaceae
Description: bacterial SSU rRNA
Rfam family: Bacterial small subunit ribosomal RNA
Source: RNAcentral
CAACUGCAGUCGAGCGGACAGAUGGGAGCUUGCUCCCUGAUGUUAGCGGCGGACGGGUGAGUAACACGUGGGUAACCUGCCUGUAAGACUGGGAUAACUCCGGGAAACCGGGGCUAAUACCGGAUGGUUGUCUGAACCGCAUGGUUCAGACAUAAAAGGUGGCUUCGGCUACCACUUACAGAUGGACCCGCGGCGCAUUAGCUAGUUGGUGAGGUAACGGCUCACCAAGGCGACGAUGCGUAGCCGACCUGAGAGGGUGAUCGGCCACACUGGGACUGAGACACGGCCCAGACUCCUACGGGAGGCAGCAGUAGGGAAUCUUCCGCAAUGGACGAAAGUCUGACGGAGCAACGCCGCGUGAGUGAUGAAGGUUUUCGGAUCGUAAAGCUCUGUUGUUAGGGAAGAACAAGUGCCGUUCAAAUAGGGCGGCACCUUGACGGUACCUAACCAGAAAGCCACGGCUAACUACGUGCCAGCAGCCGCGGUAAUACGUAGGUGGCAAGCGUUGUCCGGAAUUAUUGGGCGUAAAGGGCUCGCAGGCGGUUUCUUAAGUCUGAUGUGAAAGCCCCCGGCUCAACCGGGGAGGGUCAUUGGAAACUGGGGAACUUGAGUGCAGAAGAGGAGAGUGGAAUUCCACGUGUAGCGGUGAAAUGCGUAGAGAUGUGGAGGAACACCAGUGGCGAAGGCGACUCUCUGGUCUGUAACUGACGCUGAGGAGCGAAAGCGUGGGGAGCGAACAGGAUUAGAUACCCUGGUAGUCCACGCCGUAAACGAUGAGUGCUAAGUGUUAGGGGGUUUCCGCCCCUUAGUGCUGCAGCUAACGCAUUAAGCACUCCGCCUGGGGAGUACGGUCGCAAGACUGAAACUCAAAGGAAUUGACGGGGGCCCGCACAAGCGGUGGAGCAUGUGGUUUAAUUCGAAGCAACGCGAAGAACCUUACCAGGUCUUGACAUCCUCUGACAAUCCUAGAGAUAGGACGUCCCCUUCGGGGGCAGAGUGACAGGUGGUGCA